GGUCACAGGACCACCUGACUUGCUGGAGAUCUGGCCUCAGCAGGGACCUUCCUCUGUCCUGUCACUGCUGGGAAUCAGGUCCCCAUCACCAGAAUCACCAAGUGAAAAUCUGUUCUUCAUUUUCACAAUGCUUUGCUACAGAGUGAAUGUUAGUAACGGCUCCAGAGUGGGCAGGUCCAUGUGUGUGGAUGGAAAUUCCCAGGAACCAGGCAGGACAAUGUGCUACCUAGGAAACCCCCCAGCGGGACAAGAGAACUCAGAUCCCCCCACU
Long non-coding RNA from Neofelis nebulosa (Clouded leopard), 271 nucleotides. RefSeq lists it as uncharacterized. NCBI's taxonomy places the organism in Eukaryota, Metazoa, Chordata, Mammalia, Carnivora, Felidae. The record is from RefSeq and is a predicted model, not a curated record. The transcript is spliced from 2 exons.